This 222-nucleotide ribosomal RNA is filed under the name uncultured bacterium. RNAcentral describes it as "partial 16S ribosomal RNA". It matches the Rfam family "Bacterial small subunit ribosomal RNA", at positions 524 to 742 of the family's 1533-position model. The record is from RNAcentral.
UACGGAGGGUGCGAGCGUUGUCCGGAAUCACUGGGCGUAAAGGGCGCGUAGGCGGCGCGGAUAGUCGGCGGUGAAAGCCCGGAGCUCAACUCCGGGUCGGCCGUCGAUACUUCCGGGCUUGGAGCACUGUAGGAGGCAGAUGGAAUUCCGGGUGUAGCGGUGGAAUGCGUAGAGAUCCGGAAGAACACCGGUGGCGAAGGCGGUCUGCUGGGCGAGUUGCUG